AGAACGAACGCUGGCGGCAGGCCUAAAACAUGCAAGUCGAACGCUCUAGCAAUAGGGAGUGGCGCACGGGUGAGUAACAUGUGGGAAUAUGCCUUUUGGUACGGAACAACUUUUGGAAACGAAAGCUAAUACCGUAUGGUCCCUUCGGGGUAAAGAUUUAUCGCCAAAAGAGUAGCCCGCACUGGAUUAGCUAGUUGGUAAGGUAAUGGCUUACCAAGGCGACGAUCCAUAGCUGGUCUGAGAGGACGAUCAGCCACACUGGGACUGAGACACGGCCCAGACUCCUACGGGAGGCAGCAGUUAGGAAUCUUGGACAAUGGGCGCAAGCCUGAUCCAGCCAUGCCGCGUGAGUGAUGAAGGCCUUCGGGUUGUAAAGCUCUUUUGUGCGGGAAGAUAAUGACGGUACCGCAAGAAUAAGCCCCGGCUAACUUCGUGCCAGCAGCCGC
This 446-nucleotide ribosomal RNA is filed under the name uncultured bacterium. RNAcentral describes it as "SSU rRNA". It matches the Rfam family "Bacterial small subunit ribosomal RNA", at positions 26 to 518 of the family's 1533-position model. The record is from RNAcentral.